RNAcentral lists this ribosomal RNA (507 nucleotides) under Occidozyga lima. RNAcentral describes it as "partial 12S ribosomal RNA". It matches the Rfam family "Bacterial small subunit ribosomal RNA", at positions 837 to 1533 of the family's 1533-position model. The record is from RNAcentral. Lineage: Eukaryota; Metazoa; Chordata; Amphibia; Anura; Dicroglossidae.
GCCUAACCACAAUAUACAAUUAAACCACCAAUUGUCCGCCAAACAACUACGAGCUAUACUUAAAACUUAAAAGACUUGACGGUGCUCACCACGCCCUAGAGGAGCCUGUUCUAGAACCGAUGAUCCACGAUUAACCCAGCCCCCUCUAGCCUAACAGUCUAUAUACCGCCGUCGCCAGCUUACCUUGUAAACAAAUAAGUAGGCUAAAUGAUACCACACUUAAACGACAGGUCGAGGUGUAACUAAUGAAGGGGCCUAAGAUGGGCUACAUUCUCCUAUCCGAGAAUACGAACAAUACUAUGAAAUUAGUGUUCGAAGGCGGAUUUAGCAGUAAGAUAAGAAUAAAAUGUUCUUUUUAACCCGGCUCUGGGACGCGUACACACCGCCCGUCACCCUCUUCAAUAGUUUCUAAUAAGUUUAUUACACCUCAUAAAUCAUAAGAAGAGGCAAGUCGUAACAAGGUAAGUGUACUGGAAAGUGCACUUGGAUUAACAAAAUGUAGCUUAA